UUACGGCCAUAUUAAAUUGAAACACUGCUUCUCGUACGAUAACCGAAGAAGCAAUGUCGAGCCUGGUCAGUACUUAGAUGGGUGACUGCUUGGGAAUACCAAGCGCUGUAAU
Acanthosepion pharaonis is the source of this 112-nucleotide non-coding RNA. The record is from the annotation of a GenBank genome assembly. Lineage: Eukaryota; Metazoa; Mollusca; Cephalopoda; Sepiida; Sepiidae.